RNAcentral lists this signal recognition particle RNA (303 nucleotides) under Humulus lupulus (European hop). RNAcentral's name for it is "Plant signal recognition particle RNA". It matches the Rfam family "Plant signal recognition particle RNA". The record is from Rfam by way of RNAcentral. Lineage: Eukaryota; Viridiplantae; Streptophyta; Magnoliopsida; Rosales; Cannabaceae.
GUCUUAGCAACUUGGUCCUGUAACCCAAGUGGGGGCAUGUGGGAAAUGGAACUUUGGGUCAACCCAGUGGUNCGGGNCCAGUGCUAGCUGCUUACCCGGCUGCCCAUUCCAAGCCGGGAGGUGGGCUGAGGGACCUGGGCGAAGGCUNNNGGNNGCGCACUCCUAGACUGGAGGGCAAUGCGUGAGGCUGGCUUCACAGAGCAGCGACUACCUCCCGCUCUCGGCAGUGGAAGGAUAACGGGCCGGUGCGCCUUGAGCCAACACUGUUCAACUGGGCUGACUCUUAAUAGGACCAUUUCUUUU